This 80-nucleotide transfer RNA is filed under the name Salmonella enterica subsp. enterica. RNAcentral's name for it is "tRNA-OTHER". The record is from RNAcentral. Lineage: Bacteria; Pseudomonadati; Pseudomonadota; Gammaproteobacteria; Enterobacterales; Enterobacteriaceae.
GCGAAGGUGGCGGAAUUGGUAGACGCUAGCUGGUGUUAGUCGCUUACGGACGGUGGGGGUUCAAGUCCCCCCUCGCACCA